This is a long non-coding RNA of Girardinichthys multiradiatus, 400 nucleotides long. RefSeq lists it as uncharacterized. NCBI's taxonomy places the organism in Eukaryota, Metazoa, Chordata, Actinopteri, Cyprinodontiformes, Goodeidae. The record is from RefSeq and is a predicted model, not a curated record. The transcript has 3 exons.
GGGGGGUUUGCUUUGUGGUUCCUUUCUCAUGGGCAGGUGAACUGAUGUCGGCUGGGUGUUUAUUUCGUGCUACUGAACUGUCUGAUUCCAUUCUGUGCAGGUGGGGCUCACCUGGAUGACAACACGUGGAGACUGGGAGAAGUACCAGAGUGGCAGGCCAAACAAACUCAUGAGGGCCGUCUUUGUUUCAUAUGUCUCAGAGCAGCGAGUGCUGAGGAUGCUACCACCUGAUUAAACAAAGAAAGCUCUCCUCGCAGCACACCCAUUCGCUGCUCCAUCAGAGAGGACACCCACACUUGAAAGCUCUCCCUCUCGUUCUGACUUUGGAGCUGCUCUCUGAGGGAACCGUAGAGACCCAGAAUAUCACUGUGAUGCUGAUCCUGCUUCUGGUGUCUCUGCU